RNAcentral lists this ribosomal RNA (253 nucleotides) under uncultured bacterium. RNAcentral's name for it is "partial 16S ribosomal RNA". It matches the Rfam family "Bacterial small subunit ribosomal RNA", at positions 524 to 776 of the family's 1533-position model. The record is from RNAcentral.
UACGGAGGGUGCAAGCGUUGUCCGGAAUCAUUGGGCGUAAAGAGUUCGUAGGUGGUAUGUUAAGUCUGGUGUUAAAGCCCGAAGCUCAACUUCGGUUCGGCACUGGAUACUGGCAAACUUGAAUGUGGUAGAGGUAAAGGGAAUUCCUGGUGUAGCGGUGAAAUGCGUAGAUAUCAGGAGGAACAUCGGUGGCGUAAGCGCUUUACUGGGCCAUUAUUGACACUGAGGAACGAAAGCCGGGGGAGCAAAUGGG